GGUCGUAGGACAUGGCCGCCAGGAGGUAGCUCUCGGUGAUGCCCAGAGCCACGAAGAAGUACAUCUCGGCAAAGCACGCCUGGAAGGAUAUGGCCUGGCCCGGGUGGAGCAGGCCGGCCAGCAGCCUGGGGACCGUGACGGUGGUAAAGCAGACGUCCACGAGGCUCAGACAUGCCACAAAAUGUUGAAUGAAGAUAGGCAGCGUUGGCAAGGAGAGUUUCUGAAACUUCCACUGGAGGGCUCUGCGUGUUCCGGCAGGAAUGGUAUUCUGACCUUUUCAGCUAGCAGAGGAUGAGGAGGACAAGGUGGUGGU
This 313-nucleotide long non-coding RNA is filed under the name Homo sapiens (human). RNAcentral describes it as "non-protein coding lnc-OR3A2-1:9". The record is from RNAcentral. Lineage: Eukaryota; Metazoa; Chordata; Mammalia; Primates; Hominidae.